UCAACGAAGACGUGGCCAAGAAGAUGUGU
Molecule: non-coding RNA, 29 nt
Filed under: Cricetulus griseus (Chinese hamster)
Lineage: Eukaryota; Metazoa; Chordata; Mammalia; Rodentia; Cricetidae
Source: RNAcentral